This 735-nucleotide ribosomal RNA is filed under the name Triticum aestivum (bread wheat). RNAcentral describes it as "partial small subunit ribosomal RNA". Lineage: Eukaryota; Viridiplantae; Streptophyta; Magnoliopsida; Poales; Poaceae. The record is from RNAcentral.
AUGGCGGCGGCAGGUACCCUAGUCGUGUACAGGGCGGUGUUCGCCGCGCUUGGCUGCCUCAUGGUGGGCACCCUGGUGUACACCUGCAUCACCGACGGCUCGCCGUUUCGCACCGAGCUGCUGACCCCGUGGAUGGUGACAACACUGGUUGAUCUUUAUGUAAAUAUAGCAGCGAUUUCGACUUGGGUUGUCUACAAGGAAGGAAAUUGGAUUACUUCUAUCUUCUGGGUAGUAUUGUUGAUUUGUUUCGGCAGUGCCACUACAUGUGCUUAUAUUGUUAGCAAGUUAUUUGAGAUAACAUCUUCAGGGCUUUCCCAAAAUCCGCUUGACCUUUUGUUGCUCAGGCAAAAUAAUCUACCUGAAAGGAAGUGUUCUUUUGUCGUCAUCGGAAGAACUAUUUUCAGCAUUCUGGGCAUACUCAUGGCUGCACUUGUCACGUAUACUGUCAUUACAGAUGGACUGCCUUUCAGGAAGGAUUUGUUGACACCGUGGAUGGCUGCAACCUUAAUUGACUUCUAUAUAAAUGUUUUUGCAAUAUCGGUAUGGGUUGUUCACAGGGAGUCGACUUGGAUCUCAGCAGUCAUUUGGAUAUGCUUGUUGAUAUGCUUCGGAAGCAUCACAACAUGUGGCUACAUUGUGGUUCAACUUCUCCAAGUGUCAUACCAAGACCCAGUCUACCAUCUGCUACUGAACUCCCAUAGCAAGUAUGGAAUCGCACCCUUGCAGAAGACCUGA